This is an RNA transcript of Nerophis ophidion (straightnose pipefish), 1662 nucleotides long. It is a transcript of the gene named BCL2 interacting protein 1a, with no coding region annotated. NCBI's taxonomy places the organism in Eukaryota, Metazoa, Chordata, Actinopteri, Syngnathiformes, Syngnathidae. The record is from RefSeq and is a predicted model, not a curated record. The transcript has 9 exons.
ACCAGGAAGUGUAUACGUCUCCAACAUGGCAACCCUCGACGUCCACGUCCGAAUAUGUGAACAAGAAAUAUUGAAAUAUGACUUAGAAGUCAAAGCGCUCAUCCAGGAUAUCACCGAGUGCAAAGGUCCUCAGAGCAAGCUUACUGAACUCAACACUAACGUGAAAAAGGGUUUGCAAAAUCUACGAUUACUUAUACAAGAUUUGGAGCAGAUGGCGAUGGAGCAAGACAAAGAGUCUGACAAACAGGCCUUGAUCCGUCAGGUAGAGGGACACAGGAAACAGAUGCUGAGCAACCAGACCGCGUGGAGGAAGUCCAACCUGGCCAGUAAAUUGUCAAUCGACAAUAUGGAGAAGCAGGCGCUCCUUGACGGAGCUGAUAGUGGCGCAAGACAGAGGAAGUCAACCAAAGAGGACAUGGCUGAGACGUCCAGUGACAUUACAAAGAACCUGAUGAGCAUCAGUCGAAUGAUGGCCCAGCAGGUUAACCAGAGCGAGGAGACGAUGACAGCAUUAGCUACAUCAUCCAGGACCAUCCAAGACACCAAUGACGAAUUUAAGACCAUGUCAGGGACCAUCAAGUUGGGAAGGAAACUUAUCACCAAGUACAACCGCAGGGAGCUAACUGAUAAACUGCUCAUCUUUCUUGCAUUGGCCCUCUUCCUCGCCACUGUUCUUUACAUCCUGAAGAAGAGAAUAUUUCCUUUCUUUUGAGGAGUGCAAGACCACCUCCACUGCUCCACUAUACCAACGCUUUGCCGUAAACCGCAGUUGCGAAGCCCCCGCAUUUGGGCCCCUGGCGGAGGUCCUCGUCGAACAGCGGCAUGAGCGACGGCGCGUCCCGCAGAGGUUCCUGCUUGAGGCGGGCCGGCGCGCAGCAGGACGCAUGAGUGCAGGACGCAUGAGUGCAGCAUGAGUCCAUGCGGGAAGACUGCAAGUCCAGGGAGGACAAGAGGUCGUGGCUGUUCUCCAGGUUUAAUAUGUCCUUCACGGAGAAGGGAGUGGACGUGCUGGGGCUUGGAAACAUGCUCAACAACUGUUAAACUGUCACCUGCAGCUCACGACAAGGACUUCUUCUCCUUCCUGGUAAUGUUUACUAGAUCACAUCUCCAGCCCAGAUAAAGACGCAGAUAAGCCUUGCUUAAAAACUUCCGCUGCACCAAUGAUAACAACCACAUCCUGGGUGAAGACAUUUAACUAACCCCUGGGAUAGGCUCCAGCCCUGGCAACCCCAGUAGAAAUCGGAUGGAUGGAUCUUUUCCAUCAACUUUACCAAGAAGAUGAGGCAAGAGCACUACUAAUAGACAAAUAGGGUGACAUAAUAACGCCGCGGCUUGGUUACCACUUUUGGCCCGACACACAUCAUGAGCACUGCUGUCUGUGCACGUCUCUGGUCAAGGAUGGGCUCUCUGCUUUCCAUCAGCCUUGCACACAAACAAACACUGUUGACUUACUCCGCACCCAUUUUCACCGCUUUUUAAUUGGGUGGCAACCCUGACAGUAUUUAGAACAUCGAACAUGGUGUUGUCAUCUUGGCACUCGCGCUCUGGCUGACAGAAUCAAGUUUGUUCCAGCCCAUUAUUCCCAGGCUUUGACAGCCGGGGACUUGGUACCCACAGCAUGGACAGUCAACAAGAUGUGUGUGGAGAAAGAAGGACGGGUGC